GACGAACGCUGGCGGCGUGCUUAACACAUGCAAGUCGAACGGAAAGGCCCUGCUUUUGUGGGGUGCUCGAGUGGCGAACGGGUGAGUAACACGUGAGUAACCUGCCCUUGACUUUGGUAUAACUUCAGGAAACUGGGGCUACUACCGUAUAGGAUCUCCUGCUGCAUGGUGGGGGUUGGAACGUUUCGGCGGUUGGGGAUGGACUCGCGGCUUAUCAGCUUGUUGGUGGGGUAGUGGCUUACCAAGGCUUUGACGGGUAGCCGGCCUGAGAGGGUGACCGGCCACAUUGGGACUGAGAUACGGCCCAGACUCCUACGGGAGGCAGCAGUGGGGAAUAUUGCACAAUGGGCGGAAGCCUGAUGCAGAAACGCCGCGUGCGGGAUGACGGCCUUCGGGUUGUAAAACGCUUUAGCCUGUGACGAAGCGUGAGUGACGGUAAUGGGUAAAGAAGCACCGGCUAACUACGUG
Molecule: ribosomal RNA, 468 nt
Filed under: uncultured bacterium
Lineage: Bacteria
Description: partial 16S ribosomal RNA
Rfam family: Bacterial small subunit ribosomal RNA
Source: RNAcentral